UCUGUUUGCAGCAUUUGUUGCGUUGCGGGGUAAUGAUCAGAAAGCAUCAGGUUUUGUUCUUUAUUUAAGAUAAACUGUUAGAUAGCAGAUUAUAACAAGGUGGAGGGGGUUGGUUGGGCGCCAGUCGGCUUUCCCCAUCCACCUUAGAGUAACUGGGCAGAAAGAGCUCUGCUCCCCCCCACCCCCACCCCCAGCGACCCGGCUGUACCUGAGAUACGGAGAGCGUCAACAAGCUCCUAGCAACUCGCUUGGAAACAGUCAAGCUCGGCUCGCCAAUCGGCAGGGAGGCUGCGGCUGUGAUGUGACUUUCACGCCUGUCUUCAUUAACAGAUUACAGAUUGUCGCUGACAAGCCAGGACGGAGGGCGGCCACCGGGACACUUCCCCCCGGGCAGGACACAAGGAGGGGGGAGACCCGGCUUCAGCGCGCCACCAAGAAGCACUGGUCGCAGGAUCGAUUCCACCAGCUCCUCUCUUCGUUAGCAGUGUUAUUGACAAGAAACCAAAGAGCUACUUCUUGAACCACCAUUCAAGGGAGCAGGGGGAAUAUUUUGACUGAAUAGCUGAAUACCGUAUCUUACCACUCAAGCACAAGACCGAAUGGGAUAGAGUGAAGAAACUAUUAAGAAAACUGAGAGAAAAUUUUCAAAAUUCAUUAACAACGUCGAAAGUAGCAUACUUCAAGAGAAAAUAUGCUGAAGAAGAAGAUUUACAUAAAGUUUACCAUGGGUACUUUCCAAAAAACUUGAUCUUUCCUGAAGAUCGAACAUGUAUUCUGAGACUUUCACUAGAAAAAUUAAGGAUUCUUGAAGAUCCUGAAAUCUAUCUUCGAAGGGCUGUGUUAAUAAACAAUUUAUUGAGGAAAAUCCAUAUUGAAACAGAGAAGGAAGUCUAUGAUUACACUGGACAAUUUAAUAAGGCCUCAACACACCUAUAUAACGAUGCACAUAAAAGAGUGAAAUAUAUGAUGAAAGAUUAUAGUGGAUGUUCCCAGUCUUUGUAUUAUGAAGAGAUUGGUUCAUAUUCCUUUGUGCCUUUUUCUUCAAGCAAUGUCAUUUAUGGACUUGGUUUCCCAAAUGGUCAUUUGGGAAGAAGUACUUCCUAACAUGGAAUUCCAUACAGGAUGAGCUGCUAAGUCAAUACCUCCCCUCAUUCUGCCUGGUGCGUACGCCAGAGCUGUGUAGGCCGCACUCAUCGAUGAGUCUGCAUUCAGGUCCUCGUGUAUAUUCCCUGGUUAGAAAUUUGGCUUCUUCAUAAAUCGAAAAAAAAGAGCACUUAGUUUAAACUUUGUUUUUGAUCAUAUGUAUUUGGUUGGAAUAUUGUGUACUUAAUGUGUAGUGUUUUUCUUGUUGAGAAUGGACCAGAUGGUUAAAUAUUGACCAUGUAUGUUUUUUAAACAAAUACAGUAUAAAAUAGUGA
Long non-coding RNA from Hypanus sabinus (Atlantic stingray), 1418 nucleotides. RefSeq lists it as uncharacterized. Lineage: Eukaryota; Metazoa; Chordata; Chondrichthyes; Myliobatiformes; Dasyatidae. The transcript has 4 exons. The record is from RefSeq and is a predicted model, not a curated record.